CCUACGGGAGGCAGCAGUAGGGAAUUUUCGUCAAUGGGCGCAAGCCUGAACGAGCAAUGCCGCGUGAACGAGGAAGGUCUUCGGAUCGUAAAGUUCUGUUGAAGGGGAAAAAGAGCGGAGAGAGGAAAUGGUCUCCGAUUGAUAUUACCCUUCGAGGCAGUCACGGCUAACUACGUGCCAGCAGCCGCGGUAAUACGUAGGUGGCGAGCGUUAUCCGGAAUGAUUGGGCGUAAAGGGUGCGUAGGCGGUCUGCUAAGUCUGGAGUGAAAGGUACCGGCUCAACCGGUACAGGCUCUGGAAACUGGCGGGCUAGAGAGCAGGAGAGGGCGGUGGAACUCCAUGUGUAGCGGUAAAAUGCGUAGAUAUAUGGAAGAACACCAGUGGCGAAGGCGGCCGCCUGGCCUGUGACUGACGCUGAGGCACGAAAGCGUGGGGAGCAAAUAGGAUUAGAUACCCGGGUAGUC
Molecule: ribosomal RNA, 464 nt
Filed under: uncultured bacterium
Lineage: Bacteria
Description: partial 16S ribosomal RNA
Rfam family: Bacterial small subunit ribosomal RNA
Source: RNAcentral